GAUCACGACCUGAGCAGAAACCGAGAGUCGGACUCUCAACCCACUGAGCCACCCAGGUACCCCUAACAUAUUUCUUGAAUGUUUCCCAGCCUCAGGCACUAAACGAGGUGUUUUAUUAGUUCAUCUCAUGUAACCCUCCAUGAGAGAUAGGGAAUAUUCUCUGUAUGUUACAGGUCAGGAAAUGAUAGGUCAGAGAAGUUAAGGGAGCUGCUAAAGGUCUCUAAAUAGUGAGCUCCAAAUAGUGUGAUUCAAACUCACGUCUUUCUUACUCUAGAGUCUGUCUUGCCUCAAAAACCAUAUGCCUGCAUUAUGCAUCCAUAAAACAGUGUUACUUAAUAGUGAAAAUCAUAUACUGUUCAGGAAUGAACCAUAGACCCAGCCUAGAUCUUUGGAAGUUUUUCCUUCUCCUUGUCAAGUCGGCACAAAUUACUAACCUGUGUGUUGACUAGAAUUGAAGAAAGGCUUCAGCAUCCAAGCUGAAAGAUCCCAAGAUCUGCCAGGUGAGAGAAAAUCGAAGGACAAAGGAGAAAUGUUCUUAAUCUAUUUGUCUGCAUGGAUUAUUAUCAACGAACAUUGAACUCCCCCCAGUAUUUGGGGUUUGGCAAACCCCUUGCAGACCACUGCAUAUUUGGGCAAGCAUGCUAUGCCCUUCAGGCUACAAUUUUGUAAUGAAAGACUUAGGUCUAAAGUGCUUUGUGGAACCCCAAUGAUUAUAAAGAAUUAGUGGCUGUUUCUGCCAAUGGGAAGACUAUGAAUUCAUAAGUAUGAAUUUUAUUCAUAGGGACAUAAGUAAUAAUUCUAUGUAUUUUUUUAAGUGUAUUUAUUUCAGAGAGAGCGUGAGCAGGGGAGGGGUAGUGAGAAAGGGCGAGAGAGAAUCCCAAGCAGGUUUUCUCCCUGUCAGCGCAGAGCCCGAUGCAGGCCUCAAACUCACCAACCGUGAGAUCAUGACCUGAGCAGAAAUCAAGAGUCAGACACUUAACCAGCUGGGCCGCCCGGGCACCCCAGUAUUCAUUCUAUUUCUUAGAACAAAAGCAAUGCGUAUGGCCGUGCCUGGCUCCUAGAGGCUAAUCAGCAAAUGUUUAUUAAAUAUGAUCUGAGUCCCCGAACUGUUGAGAGUGUAUACCUCCAUUUUUUUUCCCAACUCAUUCUCCCCUUCUCUAACCUACCCCUCCCAUUGAAAACUACUGCUCCAAUUAUUGCCCUUCUGUGAACAUAAUUCACUUAAUUAUACACUUGUCUCUGUAAAUCCUUGAGGGAGGGCCUGAGUCUAGGAGCGUGAUGUGUUACGUCAUCUGCAGCAACUUGAUAAGUACUUGCUGACUGACGAUACUGACUGAUAGAACUUGACACCAGCAUCCAGCUGAGGGGAAGAUGCUCGUAUAGACGACAGAAGGCCCCCAGGACUAGAAGACGGCCCCCUGAUGGUCUGCUUGGUGUAGACCACCACUCUUAGGGACCGCGGACACCCGAGACGCCAGGCGUCUGUGAAGAAGCGCCGACCCCACAGGGCUAACACAGCUUCUCCAUGCGGGAUCCUUGAAACUUGCCUCAGAGUCACUGGCGGUGUUUGUUUCAAAAUACUUCUUCUUGACUUUCGCCUUAGAUGAUAAAUCAGAACCCACAGGGAUGGCACCUCCAACGUGCACUUUCCACGAGGCUCCCAGCAGAUUCUGACACACGCAAAACUUCUCAUAUUCCUAGACGAGCAAUAAGGCAUCUCACGACAGCAAGUGAAGAGAGAAGCCCACCGACACCCAGGCGUCUGCACCGGAUUCCACCCAGGAAGCCCGGUUCGCUGACGUAAAGGAGAUUCCUUCUUUCCAUCACUGAACUGCGAUAAUGCGCAUGGUACGAAUCCAGGCAACGAAGCUAGUAACGCCAUCCACUGGUUUUUCAAGCUGAAGGACAUAGCAGGGGUGGGGUUGAGGAGGCAACGGAACUCAAAAGUUCGAGAAGCUGAGCGAGGCUGCAGAUGCCCACAUCCAACAGGGCUUUUGUGCCGCACACGCACAAAGCAGUGUAUGGAAGCAUCUGGCACGUGCCUGGUAUAGAGCAGAUUCUCAACACACGUCAGCCGCCCCGGGAUUGUUUCUGCCGACUUUUCCUUUCAAGUGCCCUUUGCUGAGUCUGGAGAAGGUUCCGAGGAAUUCACCCAGGAUGAGCACCGUCCCCAGUGCACACAUCUGACGCCCACAAGCUAUGUACGUCAGGCGACUGGGGCUGAGUUCACCGUCUCACCCUUGAGGGGUGUUCUCACAGAUAGGGGUGCUCUUGGGGAGAGUGUUGCUCCUACUCAUUAGGGACCCGGGGCCACUGGCCUCUGCAAGCCACUCUACCAAAUAUUCUGGUCUCCCCGCCCUGAAUUGUGGGGAGCACGGGAUGCAGGGAGAGGUCUAGAAGGACCAAAAGGGGUGAAGCUCUGAAAUUUCACAAGAAUUGCAUGGAAGGCUAAAGAUGAUGGUGUUUGUCACAGAACAGGGCCCGGAGCUGUCUUCCGGCUUUCCUCUAUGCCAAGCGGCUCCAAUGUCACAGAAGAGGGUCAGAGUAGGUUUUUAUCCACUCUUGGUGUGCAGUAUCUAUUGGCUGGGGCUCCCUUUGACCCCUACAGGGUGACCUGUAGGUCCUUGUAAAGUGGUGCAGAAGUACCUCCGACACAAAAUGUCCCCGAGUCAACCCAUCUUCUCCCCUAAGCUUGCCCCUUCUCUGGUAUUGCCAACUCUGACUGACGGCCUUGCCAUCGGGCUACUGGCUCAAUGGAAAACCUAAAUCACAUUCCACUCUCCUCCUCUUUUCUCCUGCAUCCAAAACAUCCUGUCAAUGUUAACUCUCACUGAAUGUUACGGCUCUUUUCUCCUCCCCACCUGCACUAUUGCUGACUUAGUUGAGACCUCGACAUUGCUCACCCAGAAUACUGCCAGAGCCUCCAGGCUAUACUUCCCACUUCUAAUCUUUCUCCCCUCUGAUACAUUUGCCACAGGACCAUCGUAGUGAUUCUUCUUAAUAAACGAGAUAACCGUACCGUACCUCCUAUUAAAAAAAAAUCUCUACUAUUUUCUGCAUUGUUUAGUGCAUUGCUUUCUUCAGGAAGACACAUAAGAUGGUCUUUGUAUCAUGCCUCGGGCAGUAUGGAAUCCUAGGUAUGUUCUCUACAAAACAGCUUACUCCUGAAAAGCAUACCCUUUAAUGCGUCGUUGGUCUCCCGUGAUGUAGAAGUGAUGUUCAAGAACAGCACUGUCCAGGAGGAAUGUCUGCAGUGAUGAUAGUGUUCUCUGCUGUCCAGUGUCUUUGCCACUAGCUACACGUAGCUCUUGAUCUCUGGAAACGUGUCUAGUGUGACUGAGAAGCCGUAGGUUUAAUUUUACUUCAUUUUACUUACCACAAAUAGCCUGUGGCUGUCAUACUGUGAGCUGAAAUCUGAGCUUCAAAGGGUAAGCAAACUCAAGAAGUGGGAAAUCUGAUUCCUAGACUUCCACAUGAAGCCCUGGGUGCUCAAGACCGGGCUAGAUCAAUUAUGGCUCAGUAGCGCCCCCUGGCUCUCAGGAAAGGAAGACGCAAAUCAUUUGAGAAUAAAUGCCUCCAGUAUUCCCACAGAUUACUAUCAACCAACUAUGAUUUUACAAUACAGUAUCACCAAACAUACAAUAAAAUAAGCCACCACGAAAUAAGGUCAGCAGAAACAACAAACAAACAAAAACAGACUUAAAGCCUAAGAUUCUCAGCUACUGGAAUUAUCACAUACAGAAUAUAAAAUAACCAUGGAUGAAAUAUUUUUUAAAAAUUAAGAGUUUCCAAAACAAACAAGUGGUAAGACCAUCAUAUAUGACCCAGCCUAUUCGAAAAGAAACCAAACAAAUUUUAGAGUUGAAAUAUGUAAGUAUUUCAAUUAAAAAUUGAACAGAGGGUUAAACAAAUUAGACACCACUAACAAGAGAGUUCGUGAGAUAAAAGAUAGAUAUGAAGAAGUAGCUGAGAAUAAAGUGUAAGGACAUGGAAAAUAUAAAAGGAAGAUUAAUAGACGUGGAACAUAAAAUAAGAAAUUCUACGUCUAUUUUAAGUCUCAGAAGCUGAAAAUACAAAAAGUGAAUGAGAGGCAAAUUUGAAGAGAUGUGGCUGAGAAAUUCUCAGAGCUUAUGAGAUACAUGAAUCCACAGAGUUUGAAAGCAGUCUUAUGAGCAGAACCAGAUCCACAAAGAAUUACAAAAUAGACUAUCUUCUCGGUCCCUCCUGUUCUUGGAAAUGUUCUUCUCAUUUUCAAGGAUCCUCUUCCAAGCUUCCAAAUGCCCAGUUUCCCCCACACUGCCCCCAGCCCACUCAAGUUUAUUUAUUAUACACGUGCCCUCAUCCAAACAGGCAUCUUUCAAGAUACGGUAAUGAAAUAAUCAGAUAAACCAGCUUGUGCUUAUAUAUGUUCCAGCUAAUGGGUUGCCUCUCCCAUUAGAUAAUGCUUUAAAAUAACUUUAUGUUACAGAUGUCCCUUGAGGAGUGACACAAUUAUUGGAAUUCAAGGCACAGUGCCAGAAGAAGAUUUGAAAGAGAAAAAGACUCUGAGUGUUCUCAGUUUGAGGGCCUACCCAGCUGGAUAACUCCUAAGAUGGAUGAGUGUCUAACUCACCAACACGUAAAAUUAGCCCACCAGGGUAGUGGGUCCUUCAUCAUCCAAGAGAACUGAUUUCAUAUAUAUUAUCAAAAUUAGGAGGAUGGAAAUCAAUAUGUCUUAUCUCUCAGAGUAUCCCCCAACCCUAUAAAUGGCAUAUAUGACCAAUGUCUAAGACAACUAACACAACAUUUCUCUGGCCACAACUAUUGGUUCAACGGGGAAGGCAGCCACUCGACAAAUACUUGUUGAGCACUUAGUAUGCCUCAGGCACUGGAGACACAGCACACAACAAAGUGGACAAGAUCUCUGCCCUAAUGGACCUUAUGCUGGAGUGAGGUGGACACAAUAUAUAAAUAAACAAAUAUGCUUAUAUACACAUCUUUAUAAACAUCUCUUUAGGCAGGCAUAUAGAUGUAUACAUGCAUCUGUGUAUACGUAUACCUAUAUAUGUGCAUAUAUUUGUAUACGUGUGUGUGUGGCUGCACUGUGAAGAAUGGAUGGAGGAAAAGAAAGACAGGAUGCACGUUAGGAGUUCUGUUUCUGGUAUCCAGAGGAGGGACCAUGGAGGAUAAUGGGUGAAUUUGAAAGAUACCAGGAUGUCGUGUUGGUCAUCCUGAUACAGGCAAAGGAAGAAAAUCACUGUGGAAAAUGAUAUAUGAGUCCCAUUUGGACCUCUGGGUAGAUGGUAUGGCCGUUUUACAAAGAGCAUAGGGAAAGAGGGGUGGGUGAAUUCAGUGUGGGGUGUCUGUGUCACCUGUAGGUGUCCAUGGGAGCAGUUGGAUAUGUGGCUGGAACUCAGCAAGAAGACCCAGGAGAUAAAGAUUGGAGAGCGGGUCAACAGAGAACUAAUAACUGAAGCCAAGUCACUGUUAUCGGUAACAAAUGGCACCCCACAAGAAAACUUUAAGGAAUGUUAACACUUCAGGGGUAGGCAGAGGGAGUGUUGGAGGGUGUUGUGUCUGGGCAGCAAAGAGAAGAAAGCACUUCAAGAACGUCCGCAGAGAAGCAGGGGGAGGAGGUCCAAGGCACCGCUGGAGUUUUAAGUCUUUAAGAAAAGCUGUUAAAACUGCUGGUCUGAGACCGGGAGCAGCAGAGAUAGUGUGAUGAACAGCGCCAUCUCGUGGAAGAUAAGAUGAACAGCCGGGAGAAGACCGAUUUUCUUGCUUGUUGAUCAUGGGUCACAUUGACUUGGGGUUGGAAAGAAUCUUAAAGGUAUAUUUUCAGAGGAAGCAUAGGCCACAAGAACUAAGUUUGGCUUCCCCACGAGUCAUGUAAGUUCUCCAGUGAGAGCUAGGGCGAGUACCUGGCUUGUGGGCUCCCAAGCCAGUAGCCUCAUUACACUGUCCUGCUUCUGAGGGGACUGUAAGUCAUAGAACAGUCAGACCCAGACUAACUGUGACCGAGGUGUCCCUGGGGUCUCUCUGCUCCUUCGUGCCUGUACAAUGUUUGGAUCAGAAAUCCCCGUUCCUCGCCCUGCAGAACGUCCGCCGCUCUCCCAAGACCUGUGUAAAUUCCGGAACCCCUCGGGAUAUCCAGAAUCUUCCUCUCACCGGUUCCCAUCUUCAACUUUAUCUCUGUGUUUGCAUCACCCCCAGAUUGAAAACAAACCCUGUCGAGGGUCCCAGCGUUGAGAGAACAACCAAGACGAGCCCCACAUCACCACAAACCACAACAAGCAAAACACCUCACUCGACGUCAACAUGGAGAUGAAAACUGGACAUUAAGAAGCCCUGUCUUGAUGGUUUUAUGUUCAGUAAUUGCAGUUAGCCAAAAGUAUCAAAAGCUGAGGUUUGGGGAUGCGCUGUUCCUUAAAUGCUUUGAUCAGAGACUUCCAGCGAGUAGUGAACAAAACACAACCAAACGGUAAAGAAUCCACUUGCCGAAACCAAGAACAAAACCUUAAGACGCGGACAUAAGGAGAACUUGAGUUGGUUUACAACAUAGCCCUUCACGGACUCAAUGAAAGACGACGUCAACUACCUCCAUGUCGACCUCAGUCUGUACUUUCUAACUGAUUAAGUUCUGUCCAGCUUAUCUCAGGCUGGAAAGGCCAAAGACAUGGCGGGCAAAGCAUCCCCUGAUGGGAGCCGAAACUACCCUCUCAAGCAAUAAGGACCGUCCUGAGCCUGCAAGACCCCAUAUGCUUGACCCCAAGACAAUGAUCAACUUUUUUACAGCCCACCUGCAUGUAGCCACCAACCUUCGUCCCACAUUUUCCUUGUAUAAACCCGGAAGUAUUGUUGGCACUUUGGAGCACAAUCUUUGAGACGCUGGUUUACUGUUUCCCAGGUGUUGGCCUCACUGAAAUAAAUUCCUUUCUGUUUCACCACC
Molecule: long non-coding RNA, 6928 nt
Organism: Felis catus (domestic cat)
Lineage: Eukaryota; Metazoa; Chordata; Mammalia; Carnivora; Felidae
Exons: 2
Source: RefSeq, a predicted model, not a curated record